GUUAAGAUGUGGCUCUGGAGCACAGUGGCCUGGCUUUGAUGUCAGGCUGAUGAAGCAGGCAUGGGGAAAGGCAUUUCAAUCCAUGUCUAAUGACGUCUCAUCCAGUCACAGAGGAAAAGGGAGUGGAUUCAAGGUCUGACAGAACAGAAAGUGAUUGAUGCAAUUACGUCAGGAGGUGAGCCAAAUGGUUUGGGAAAGAUGUGGGCAUUUCCAACAAGAAGGUUACUGGCUGCCCACCAAGAGCUGGUUGGUGUUCACAGUUCUGAGUCCAACUCUUUUCUCUGCUAGGUUCCCAUUUACAGAGCAUGACCAACCUUUCUCUCCAUUCCAAAGAACAUUCAAGAAUUGGGUUGACCAAUACACUUAGUGGAAACCACUCAGAAAA
This is a long non-coding RNA of Marmota monax (woodchuck), 385 nucleotides long. RefSeq lists it as uncharacterized. Lineage: Eukaryota; Metazoa; Chordata; Mammalia; Rodentia; Sciuridae. The transcript is spliced from 2 exons. The record is from RefSeq and is a predicted model, not a curated record.